CUCUAGUAAUAUAUAUAGAUGUAUACACACCUACACAUAUACAUAGAGUAUAUACAGAUGUAUACACACAUACAUAUGUAUAUGGAGGUUUA
Molecule: microRNA precursor, 92 nt
Filed under: Myotis lucifugus (little brown bat)
Lineage: Eukaryota; Metazoa; Chordata; Mammalia; Chiroptera; Vespertilionidae
Description: miRNA (ENSMLUG00000020533.1)
Source: RNAcentral